RNAcentral lists this transfer RNA (21 nucleotides) under Weymouthia cochlearifolia. Its description in RNAcentral is "partial transfer RNA-Phe". The record is from RNAcentral. Lineage: Eukaryota; Viridiplantae; Streptophyta; Bryopsida; Hypnales; Lembophyllaceae.
GCCGGAAUAGCUCAGUCGGUA